UCCUGACUUUAUUAUAUAGUGUAAACUAAGAAAUAUACAUGGUUUUUUUGGAAUGUGGCGAGGUAAAGAAUAGUUUUGCGAGAAUAGAACAUUUACGCAAAUCGUCUCUUUAUAAUGUUAUUAUGUAAAUAAUAUUUUGAAAAGUCCCGCUAACACCAGUAUUUAAGGUUAAAUAAAAGAGCGAGAGCUUGUUUUAGUUUAGUUUAUUAGAUCUGGUUAACUUGGUGCCAGCAUCCGCGGUUACACCAAGAGGUCAAAUUAUAUAUAUUAAGGUAAAAAGGCAGUUAGAUACUUUUUAUAUUUAGUUUAUUUAUUGUUUAUAUGAAGGUAAAAUUUGAAUAUAUGUCAAUAGUUCCAAAUACGCUGAUCAAAUUGACUCUGCGACAACCUUGAGGGAAACUGGGAUUAGAUACCCCAUUAUUCUUGGCUUUAAAUUAAUUAAGAUUUACCAGAGUACUACGAAUUAACACAAUUUAAAACUCCAAGGGCUUGGCGGUGUUUUAGACCUUUCAGGGGAACUUGUCUCGUAAUCGACAGUCCACGUUACACCUAACCUUCUUUAGCAUUCAGUUUGUAUAUCGUCGUCGUCAGGUAACUUUUUAGAAUUUAGAAGUUAGCAAUCAAAAUAUAAGUUAAUUUAAACGUCAGAUCAAGAUGCAGCUUAUAAAAAGGUGAUGAUGAGUUACAAUUAAUAUAGUUAUAAAUACGGAUAAGUUAAUGAAAUUAACUUUGAAGGUGGACUUGAAAGUAAGAUGAAAUAUAUAAAUAUUUUGAAUAAGGCUCUGAAACAUGCACACAUCGCCCGUCGCUCUUGUUGAAAAACAAGAUAAGUCGUAACAUAGUAGGGGUAAUGGAAAUUGUCCCUGGACG
This 870-nucleotide non-coding RNA is filed under the name Distorsio anus. The record is from RNAcentral. Lineage: Eukaryota; Metazoa; Mollusca; Gastropoda; Littorinimorpha; Personidae.